GGGGAUUUAGCUCAGUGGUAGAGCACUUGCCUAGCAAGCGCAAGACCCUCAGUUCAGUCCUCAGAUCCCCCC
This is a non-coding RNA of Rattus norvegicus (Norway rat), 72 nucleotides long. NCBI's taxonomy places the organism in Eukaryota, Metazoa, Chordata, Mammalia, Rodentia, Muridae. The record is from Rfam.